RNAcentral lists this ribosomal RNA (487 nucleotides) under uncultured bacterium. RNAcentral describes it as "partial 16S ribosomal RNA". It matches the Rfam family "Bacterial small subunit ribosomal RNA", at positions 28 to 507 of the family's 1533-position model. The record is from RNAcentral.
GAUGAACGCUAGCGAUAGGCUUAACACAUGCAAGUCGAGGGGCAGCACAAGGUAGCUUGCUCUCUGGGUGGCGACCGGCGCACGGGUGCGUAACGCGUAUGCAACUUGCCCUAUACAGGAGGAUAACCCGUCGAAAGACGGACUAAUACUGCGUAUGCUCACAACUUGGCAUCAAGUGGUGAGGAAAGAAAUUCGGUAUAGGAUAGGCAUGCGUCCCAUUAGCUUGUUGGUGAGGUAACGGCUCACCAAGGCAACGAUGGGUAGGGGAACUGAGAGGUUUAUCCCCCACACUGGUACUGAGACACGGACCAGACUCCUACGGGAGGCAGCAGUGGGGAAUAUUGGUCAAUGGGCGCGAGCCUGAACCAGCCAAGUCGCGUGAAGGAUGACUGUCUUAUGGAUUGUAAACUUCUUUUAUACGGGAAUAACAAGAGUCACGUGUGACUCCCUGCAUGUACCGUAUGAAUAAGCAUCGGCUAACUCCGUG